This is a non-coding RNA of Acanthosepion pharaonis, 115 nucleotides long. The record is from the annotation of a GenBank genome assembly. Lineage: Eukaryota; Metazoa; Mollusca; Cephalopoda; Sepiida; Sepiidae.
UUACGGCCAUAUCACGUUGCAGCACCAGUUCUUGUACGAUUAUUGAAGUUAAGCAAUAUCGAACCUAGUCAGUACCGAGAUAAGUGAACCGCUUGGGAAUACCAGGUGUUGUAAG